RNAcentral lists this ribosomal RNA (498 nucleotides) under uncultured bacterium. RNAcentral's name for it is "partial 16S ribosomal RNA". It matches the Rfam family "Bacterial small subunit ribosomal RNA", at positions 30 to 523 of the family's 1533-position model. The record is from RNAcentral.
AUUGAACGCUGGCGGCAUGCCUUACACAUGCAAGUCGAACGGUAACAGGUCUUCGGAUGCUGACGAGUGGCGAACGGGUGAGUAAUACAUCGGAACGUGCCCGAUCGUGGGGGAUAACGAAGCGAAAGCUUUGCUAAUACCGCAUAAGAUCUACGGAUGAAAGCAGGGGACCGCAAGGCCUUGCGCGAACGGAGCGGCCGAUGGCAGAUUAGGUAGUUGGUGGGAUAAAAGCUUACCAAGCCGACGAUCUGUAGCUGGUCUGAGAGGACGACCAGCCACACUGGUACUGAGACACGGCCCAGACUCCUACGGUAGGCAGCAGUGGGGAAUUUUGGACAAUGGGCGAAAGCCUGAUCCAGCCAUGCCGCGUGCAGGAUGAAGGCCUUCGGGUUGUAAACUGCUUUUGUACGGAACGAAAAGACUCUUUCUAAUAAAGAGGGUCCAUGACGGUACCGUAAGAAUAAGCACCGGCUAACUACGUGCCAGCCGCCGCCGUAA